RNAcentral lists this ribosomal RNA (460 nucleotides) under uncultured bacterium. RNAcentral's name for it is "partial 16S ribosomal RNA". It matches the Rfam family "Bacterial small subunit ribosomal RNA", at positions 338 to 795 of the family's 1533-position model. The record is from RNAcentral.
CCUACGGGAGGCAGCAGUGAGGAAUAUUGGUCAAUGGACGGAAGUCUGAACCAGCCAUGCCGCGUGCAGGAAGACGGCUCUAUGAGUUGUAAACUGCUUUUGUACAAGGGUAAACCUGAAUACGUGUAUUCAGCUGAAAGUACUGUACGAAUAAGGAUCGGCUAACUCCGUGCCAGCAGCCGCGGUAAUACGGAGGAUCCAAGCGUUAUCCGGAUUGAUUGGGUUUAAAGGGUGCGUAGGCGGAUUGAUAAGUUAGAGGUGAACUGUCCGAGCUUAACUCGGGAACUGCCUCUAAUACUGUUGAUCUAGAGAGUAGAUGCGGUAGGCGGAAUGUAUGGUGUAGCGGUGAAAUGCUUAGAGAUCAUACAGAACACCGAUUGCGAAGGCAGCUUACCAAUCUAUAUCUGACGUUGAGGCACGAAAGCGUGGGGAGCAAACAGGAUUAGAUACCCUUGUAGUC